UCAGUAACGGCGAGUGAAGCGGCUACAGCUCAAAUUUGAAAUCUGGCCUCCUUUGGGGGUCCGAGUUGUAAUUUGCAGAGGAUGCUUUGGCAUUGGCGGCGGUCUAAGUUCCUUGGAACAGGACAUCGCAGAGGGUGAGAAUCCCGUACGUGGGCGCCUGCCUUUGCCGUGUAAAGCUCCUUCGACGAGUCGAGUUGUUUGGGAAUGCAGCUCUAAAUGGGAGGUAAAUUUCUCCUAAAGCUAAAUACCGGCCAGAGACCGAUAGCGCACAAGUAGAGUGAUCGAAAGAUGAAAAGUACUUUGGAAAGAGAGUCAAAUAGCACGUGAAAUUGUUGAAAGGGAAGCGCUUGCAGCCAGACUUGCCCGCAGUUGCUCACCUAGGCUUUCGCCUGGGGCACUCUUCUGCGGGCAGGCCAGCAUCAGUUUGGGCGGUCGGAUAAAGGCCUCUGUCAUGUACCACCCCUCGGGGUGGCCUUAUAGGGGAGGCGUAAUGCGACCAGCCCGGACUGAGGUCCGCGCAUCUGCUAGGAUGCUGGCGUAAUGGCUGUAAGCGGCCCGUCUUGAAACACGGACCAAGGAGUCUAACAUCUAUGCGAGUGUUUGGGUGUCAAGCCCGGGCGCGCAAUGAAAGUGAACGGAGGUGGGAACCCUUCGGGGUGCACCAUCGACCGAUCCUGAAGUCUUCGGAUGGAUUUGAGUAAGAGCAUAGCUGUUGGGACCCGAAAGAUGGUGAACUAUGCUUGAAUAGGGUGAAGCCAGAGGAAACUCUGGUGGAGGCUCGCAG
Molecule: ribosomal RNA, 784 nt
Filed under: Pseudopithomyces palmicola
Lineage: Eukaryota; Fungi; Ascomycota; Dothideomycetes; Pleosporales; Didymosphaeriaceae
Description: partial large subunit ribosomal RNA
Rfam family: Eukaryotic large subunit ribosomal RNA
Source: RNAcentral